CGGAAAUAUGCCCCAGAUGGGCAGGUCUCAUUGGGUUUGUCUCCCAUGUCUGCUGGUUCUAAGCUCACUCCGGGUUCGAAUUCGUCAACCCCCAGACGACGACGAGGGCGGCCACCCGGUUCUGGAAGGAAACAACAAUUAGCUCUCCUUGGUGAUUGGAUGAACAAUUCAGCUGGACUAGCCUUUGCUCCACAUGUUAUUCACGUUGGAGCUGGAGAAG
RNAcentral lists this unclassified non-coding RNA (220 nucleotides) under Hevea brasiliensis (rubber tree). The record is from RNAcentral. Lineage: Eukaryota; Viridiplantae; Streptophyta; Magnoliopsida; Malpighiales; Euphorbiaceae.